GACGAACGCUGGCGGCGUGCUUAACACAUGCAAGUCGAACGGAAAGGCCCUGCUUUUGUGGGGUGCUCGAGUGGCGAACGGGUGAGUAACACGUGAGUAACCUGCCCUUGACUUUGGGAUAACUUCAGGAAACUGGGGCUAAUACCGGAUAGGAGCUCCUGCUGCAUGGUGGGGGUUGGAAAGUUUCGGCGGUUGGGGAUGGACUCGCGGCUUAUCAGCUUGUUGGUGGGGUAGUGGCUUACCAAGGCUUUGACGGGUAGCCGGCCUGAGAGGGUGACCGGCCACAUUGGGACUGAGAUACGGCCCAGGCUCCUACGGGAGGCAGCAGUGGGGAAUAUUGCACAAUGGGCGGAAGCCUGAUGCAGCAACGCCGCGUGCGGGAUGACGGCCUUCGGGUUGUAAACCGCUUUCGCCUGUGACGAAGCGUGAGUGACGGUAAUGGGUAAAGAAGCACCGGCUAACUACGUGC
Molecule: ribosomal RNA, 469 nt
Filed under: uncultured bacterium
Lineage: Bacteria
Description: partial 16S ribosomal RNA
Rfam family: Bacterial small subunit ribosomal RNA
Source: RNAcentral